CCUACGGGAGGCUGCAGUGAGGAAUAUUGGUCAAUGGACGAGAGUCUGAACCAGCCAAGUAGCGUGAAGGAUGACUGCCCUAUGGGUUGUAAACUUCUUUUAUAAAGGAAUAAAACGAGGCACGUGUGCCUUUUUGCAUGUACUUUAUGAAUAAGGAUCGGCUAACUCCGUGCCAGCAGCCGCGGUAAUACGGAGGAUCCGAGCGUUAGCCGGAUUUAUUGGGUUUAAAGGGAGCGUAGAUGGGUUGUUAAGUCAGUUGUGAAAGUUUGCGGCUCAACCGUAAAAUUGCAAUUGAUACUGGCAGUCUUGAGUACAGUUGAGGUAGGCGGAAUUCGUGGUGUAGCGGUGAAAUGCUUAGAUAUCACGAAGAACCCCGAUGGCGAAGGCAGCUUACUAAACUGUGACUGACAUUGAUGCUCGAAAGUGUGGGUAGCAAACAGGAUUAGAUACCCGAGUAGUC
RNAcentral lists this ribosomal RNA (460 nucleotides) under uncultured bacterium. Its description in RNAcentral is "partial 16S ribosomal RNA". It matches the Rfam family "Bacterial small subunit ribosomal RNA", at positions 338 to 795 of the family's 1533-position model. The record is from RNAcentral.